Molecule: long non-coding RNA, 266 nt
Organism: Mytilus trossulus (common blue mussel)
Lineage: Eukaryota; Metazoa; Mollusca; Bivalvia; Mytilida; Mytilidae
Exons: 3
Source: RefSeq, a predicted model, not a curated record
AGUGGUUCUCAAUCAACAAAAACGACAAUCUUGAUAGACACCAUGAAAACAAGUGUAGCUAUUAUCAUACUGCUCGUUUGCCUUUCAGGCAUGACGAUUAAUCAAGCUGAUGGAAUACUUAUAACAUGUAAUUGGGGAGGAUGUCCGCACAAAGGAGCUUGUCACAAAUGUUGUGACCACCUUAGAUCGGGAUGUAUUGGUGGAAAAUGUGUUAGGAGACGACCAUGGGCAUUGAUUAAAACCAAAUGUCAAUGUGAUUGUCCAUC